AGCUAAUACCCUACUACGCUAUCUUUUUUCGUUAAAGGAAUAGGAAAGACCGGGUCGAGGACCUCGGUACUCAAGGAGGGGCUCAUGUCCUAUCAGCUUGUUGGUGGGGUAACGGCCUACCAAGGCUACGACGGGUAGGCUGGUCUGAGAGGAUGAUCAGCCACACUGGCACUGAGAUACGGGCCAGACUCCCUACGGGAGGCAGCAGUGAGGAAUAUUGCGCAAUGGGCGAAAGCCUGACGCAGCGACGCCGCGUGGGGGAUGAAGGUUUUCGGAUUGUAAACCCCUUUCAUGAGGAAAGAUAAAGUGGGUAACCACUUAGACGGUACCUCAAGAAGAAGCCACGGCUAACUUCGUG
RNAcentral lists this ribosomal RNA (358 nucleotides) under uncultured bacterium. RNAcentral's name for it is "bacterial SSU rRNA". It matches the Rfam family "Bacterial small subunit ribosomal RNA", at positions 161 to 507 of the family's 1533-position model. The record is from RNAcentral.